GACGAACGCUGGCGGCGUGCUUAACACAUGCAAGUCGAACGGUCCGAUGCUCGACACCGAGUGUUUCUGCAAAAACGAUGUGAAGCCGGCGGGAAAGCGAUAAGCUAACCUGCAAGGAAAGGCAAGGGGAACUGAGAAGAGCUUUCCCAGGCUUUUUAUAGGGAUUAACACAUUGCCAGGCAGGAGCGCCGGGUGUUGAGCGUCGGAUAGUGGCGAACGGGUGAGUAACGCGUGGGCAAUCUGCCCUUCAGAUGGGGACAACAUCCCGAAAGGGGUGCUAAUACCGAAUACGAUCCUUCCACCGCAUGGAGGGGGGAUGAAAGAUGGCCUCUAUAUAUAAGCUAUCGCUGAAGGAUGAGCCUGCGUCUGAUUAGCUUGUUGGUGGGGUAACGGCCUACCAAGGCGAUGAUCAGUAGCCGGUCUGAGAGGAUGAACGGCCACAUUGGGACUGAGACACGGCCCAAACUCCUACGGGAGGCAGCAGUGGGGAAU
Molecule: ribosomal RNA, 492 nt
Filed under: uncultured bacterium
Lineage: Bacteria
Description: bacterial SSU rRNA
Rfam family: Bacterial small subunit ribosomal RNA
Source: RNAcentral